Molecule: ribosomal RNA, 251 nt
Filed under: uncultured bacterium
Lineage: Bacteria
Description: partial 16S ribosomal RNA
Rfam family: Bacterial small subunit ribosomal RNA
Source: RNAcentral
UACAGAGGGGGCAAGCGUUGUUCGGAAUUACUGGGCGUAAAGGGCGCGUAGGCGGCCUGUUAAGUCGAACGUGAAAUCCCUGGGCUCAACCCAGGAACUGCGUCCGAUACUGGCAGGCUUGAAUUCGGGAGAGGGAUGCGGAAUUCCAGGUGUAGCGGUGAAAUGCGUAGAGAUGCGGAGGAACACCGAUGGCGAAGGCAGCCCCCUGGGCUAACACUGACGCUCAGGCACGAAAGCGUGGGGAGCAACGA